CUUCCAUUCACCGCGCGGCGCCCGGAGCUUUCCGGUCCUGCGGGAAGCGAAGCCAAGUCCUCCGUCCCUGGGCUCUACGAAGCCCCCGUUGUUGAAAAAGCCAGUCGGCUAGCAAGUCGGAUUCACCGGGUCUGACAGCUCAUUUGAUGUAUUGCUCGGGAGUGCGCUUAGUUUACCCGCAUUUGGUGACCGUGUUUGAAUCUAAAUGCGCCUCCUCUCUGCCACCCACAGUGUUCGUGUGCGCCGGCAGCUCGCCAUAGCCACCCCGGGGCCGUGGUCCAGCUCUCAGAGCAGCGAUGACUGUGUCCUGAGUGAGCCUCGAGGACACGUCACCCUGCACUUCCUCAUCAGUGAAAGGGGACCCAGCUAGCCCCUCCCAGCUCGGGAACGCGGGGCGUCGCCAAGUCGCUUUCCCACGGCAGGAGGCCCCAGAUUUUCUCUCUUUUUUUGGUAAUAUUUUCAAUUUAUCUUUUUCCUUUGACAAAAUCUGCAAACCCAGAACACCAAUCCAUCAACCAACUUGUCAUUCGGAAAAUUCUGAAAGCAUCGUUUUCUUUUCUUUUUUUAACAUGUGUCCAUUCUUGCACAAAACAAUUUUAAAACAGAAAGGAAUGACUAUUUUUGAACACAUCCUCUGAAAGUGAGUGUAAAUGCAUGAAGCUGAUGUAGUUAGUCGUUUCACAAGGCUUCAGUUUCAGUUUCUGGAACACUCCCAGGUUCAUUGAACUCGGUUUUUUGGUAUAAAGGCUGUAUAAUGAUGGGCAGGAAGUGGCAACAAGGAUGAUUAGCCUUUCUCAGUUCUUAAGGUACAUGUGCUCCCAACCCUCACAAUAAUACCAAGUUCUGCUAGUUUUAUCCUCAGGUUAAUCCAGAACUAACCAGGACAGCCCAGACUAGAUGGUGUCACCCAGGCACAAGCAGCUUCCGCCAGGCACACGCUGUCUGAGCCUUUUUGACAGCAGCCUCCUCAGAUCAAGCUGAUGUUAGAGACGCUGUAGGAGUUUCAUUAAACUUGACAGCAGGGAAAAGUUUGAAGAAGUCUUCUUAACCAGUAAUAUGAAAGCUCCACAGGGAACCCAGCUGACCUCAUCACAGAAGGAUUUUCCCUUCUCCUGGGAAAAAGAUGGAAUGAACACGCUGUUUGCUGUUGUCUAUUUUUGAAGCAAGGUAUGCCAAUGUCAGUGUGCCCUUCCCCAGAAGUGGAGGAGUCUGUACAUCUGCAAAGUCUGCUUAGUGCUCUUUUGGGUAAAAAAAUCAUGCUUUGCUGGCAUUUUAUGUUUCUAUAAAAGAAUAGGAAAAACGUUGCCCCUCGGAGUCCUCGAUGAGGUAAGAAGGCUGUGAUUAGGUAGCAACUGUGAUUAGGUGUCUGUAGAGGAGAAAGAAAUGAACAGGGUUAGAAAGAUACACAUUCCCUACUGGUACCCUUCCAGGGUCUUGACUGAAGGCCAGACAGUCAGAGAGUGAGCCAAGCCAGUUCUGUGGCUCAGAAUAAUUGGGUAAUUGAUUGUAAUUAAGUAGUAAUUAAUAAUGACUUGAAUAAUUAAAGGUUUCCUACCUUCAGGCUGUGGCUGGAUAGGGUGCUGUGCUGAGCCGUAAUGGAACUUGAGGGAUAAGAGAAAACAGUAAUACUUACCCUGUCUUUACUAAAAUUUUUGAUAUUUUGCUCAUAUAUAGAUUUUAACAUGAUUUUUUAAAAAUAGCCCAUUAAAAUAGUACUGAUCUUGAUUACUGAGUUUUUUGGUGUCUCCUUAAAUUUGGCACCUUUCACAAGUGCCUUACUCACCUCCCCCCAGUGCAGGUCUUGAGCCCAGAAGCAAUGUGAUGGGUAUUUGGAUAUUAUUGCUUGGCCUGCCCUUUAAAAGGAACAAAGGGACAGCCAAAUACUUGGGCUGCUCUCUCACUCUUCAUGUCCUCAAAUUUCCAAAUCACUGAUAUCCAAUUACAGUCUGCUCCAGAGUUGAGAGACAGCCCCGUCUUGUGUGUACCAUUAUCACCCCAAUCUAUGGACGAGAGACUUAGGCUCAGUACGCAUGACACAUAUGCCUGAGAAGGAGGCAAGGGAGACCUUGAAGGCAGCCUGGCUGGACUCCAGAGGUUGUGAUCUCAGCUGCGGGGCUGUAAGAAAUUGCCCACCUGCUGUGUGCCCCACCGUUCCGCACGGAAAAAGGUAAGCCAGGUAUUUUCUUCUCACUUAUUAGUCAGUUACAAGUCAUGACAGAAUAGCUCCUAAUAACUUAAUAAGUUGCACUGUCUUUUUCCUCUUACGGAAGCAAUAUGUAAUCACUGAUGAAAUGAGAAAAUACACAUCAAUGAGAGAAAUCAAACUAAAUCAAAAUCCCACCCCAAGAGCCACCUACUAUUAGCAUUUUGUUGCAUCUCUCUCCAAGCUUUAUUUUAAUAAAGAUAAAUUAUAUGUAUAUGAUUUCAAAAUGAAAUCAUAUUCUACACAUGCAUUUUUUAAAAUUCUGCUUUACCAAGAAAAACAAUACACCUUUAGCAUCUUUCUCUGUCAUUGCUAUUGUGCAGAGUAAUUUGUAAUGGCUCCAUAAUAUGUAUUCAUUUGUUCAUGUUACCUACUCUCCAGGCUUAGGUAAGCUGGGCACUGGAGAUACGUCAGUUAACAAAACAAAGAAUUAGGACCCCUAGGGUUGACAUUUAAGUAAAGGGGGCCUUCAAAAAAAUAAAUGAAUAAAGAUGUGUCCGUCAAUAGGAACACUAUUUUGAAUGUAUCAGGGAGUCUUCUCUGAGAAGAGGCUGUUAUGGGCUGAACUGUGCCUCCUCCCCAACCUUCCAAAUUCCUAGAUUGAAGUCCGAACUUCCAGUACCUCAAAAUAUGGUAAUAAGUUAGAAUGUAAUAAGUUAGAAUAAGGUAAUCCAUCAUGGCCGGUGAGUUUUUAAGAAGAGGACGUGUAGACCCCAGCACAUAGAGGGAACACGUAGGGAGAACAGGGCUAUCUAUAGGGUGUCCCAAAAUUCACACAAGAUUUGAAUUUUGCGUGAGCAUUAACAACAACAACAACAAAAAAUAAAAGCCUAAUUUUACUUGGUUUAUUGAAUCAGAUUCU
Molecule: long non-coding RNA, 3065 nt
Organism: Myotis myotis
Lineage: Eukaryota; Metazoa; Chordata; Mammalia; Chiroptera; Vespertilionidae
Exons: 3
Source: RefSeq, a predicted model, not a curated record